Molecule: ribosomal RNA, 253 nt
Filed under: uncultured bacterium
Lineage: Bacteria
Description: partial 16S ribosomal RNA
Rfam family: Bacterial small subunit ribosomal RNA
Source: RNAcentral
UACGAAGGGGGCUAGCGUUGUUCGGAUUUACUGGGCGUAAAGCGCACGUAGGCGGAUCGUUAAGUCGGGGGUGAAAUCCUGGAGCUCAACUCCAGAACUGCCUUCGAUACUGGCGAUCUUGAGUCCGGAAGAGGCGAGUGGAAUUCCUGGUGUAGCGGUGAAAUGCGCAGAUAUCAGGAGGAACACCAAUGGCGAAGGCAGCUCGCUGGGACGGUACUGACGCUGAGGCGCGAAAGCGUGGGGAGCAAACAGG